CGGAUGAACGCUGGCGGCGUGCUUAACACAUGCAAGUCGAACGGAGAAAGGGUAGCUUGCUAUCUUUCUUAGUGGCGGACGGGUGAGUAACGCGUGGGUAACCUGCCCUUUGCAGGGGGAUAACAGUGAGAAAUCACUGCUAAUACCGCAUACCAACUUCUUUCGCAUGAAAGAAGUUUGAAAGAUUUAUCGGCAAAGGAUGGACCCGCGUUGGAUUAGCUAGUUGGUGAGAUAACAGCCCACCAAGGCAACGAUCCAUAGCCGGCCUGAGAGGGUGAACGGCCACACUGGGACUGAGACACGGCCCAGACUCCUACGGGAGGCAGCAGUGGGGAAUAUUGCACAAUGGGCGAAAGCCUGAUGCAGCGACGCCGCGUGAAGGAUGAAGGUCUUCGGAUUGUAAACUUCUAUCAGCAGGGAAGAAAGGGCCUAUGGCCUAUGACGGUACCUGACUAAGAAGCCCCGGCUAACUACGUG
This 477-nucleotide ribosomal RNA is filed under the name uncultured bacterium. Its description in RNAcentral is "bacterial SSU rRNA". It matches the Rfam family "Bacterial small subunit ribosomal RNA", at positions 27 to 507 of the family's 1533-position model. The record is from RNAcentral.